GACGAACGCUGGCGGCGUGCUUAACACAUGCAAGUCGAACGGAAAGGCCCUGCUUUUGUGGGGUGCUCGAGUGGCGAACGGGUGAGUAACACGUGAGUAACCUGCCCUUGACUUUGGGAUAACUUCAGGAAACUGGGGCUAAUACCGGAUAGGAGCUCCUGCUGCAUGGGGGGGGUUGGAAAGUUUCGGCGGUUGGGGAUGGACUCGCGGCUUAUCAGCUUGUGGGUGGGGGAGUGGCUUACCAAGGCUUUGCGGGGUAGCCGGCCUGGGAGGGUGGCCGGCCACAUUGGGACUGGGAUACGGCCCAGCCUCCUCCGGGAGGCAGCAGUGGGGAAUAUUGCACAAUGGGCGGAGGCCUGAUGCAGAAACCCCGCGUGCGGGAUGACGGCCUUCGGGUUGUAAACCGCUUUCGCCUGUGACGAAGCGUGAGUGACGGUAAUGGGUAAAGAAGCACCGGCUAACUACGUG
This 468-nucleotide ribosomal RNA is filed under the name uncultured bacterium. RNAcentral's name for it is "partial 16S ribosomal RNA". It matches the Rfam family "Bacterial small subunit ribosomal RNA", at positions 28 to 507 of the family's 1533-position model. The record is from RNAcentral.